GGCCUUGACAUACUAAGAACUUUCCAGAGAUGGAUUGGUGCCUUCGGGAACUUAGAUACAGGUGCUGCAUGGCUGUCGUCAGCUCGUGUCGUGAGAUGUUGGGUUAAGUCCGCAACGAGCGCAACCCUUUUCCUUAUUUGCCAGCGGGUCAUGCCGGGAACUUUAAGGAUACUGCCAGUGACAAACUGGAGGAAGGCGGGGACGACGUCAAGUCAUCAUGGCCCUUACGGCCAGGGCUACACACGUGCUACAAUGGUCGGUACAAAGGGUUAGCUACCUCGCGAGAGGAUGCUAAUCUCAAAAAGCCGAUCGUAGUCCGGAUCGCAGUCUGCAACUCGACUGCGUGAAGUCGGAAUCGCUAGUAAUCGCGGAUCAGAAUGCCGCGGUGAAUACGUUCCCGGGCCUUGUACACACCGCCCGUCACACCAUGGGAGUUUGUUGCACCAGAAGUAGGUAGUCUAACCGCAAGGAGGACGCUUACCACGGUGUGGCCGAUGACUGGGGUGAAGUCGUAACAAGGUAGGCGUACUACA
Molecule: ribosomal RNA, 533 nt
Filed under: uncultured bacterium
Lineage: Bacteria
Description: bacterial SSU rRNA
Rfam family: Bacterial small subunit ribosomal RNA
Source: RNAcentral